GGGGAGGAGGCUCGCGGCCGCCCGGCGCCCUAGGCCGCAGCCGCCCUCGCCGCCGGCCGGGCCGGGUGGAGGUCUGCGCGGCUCCCGCGGGCUGUGCCCCCAGUUCCCCGCGGGCCGGGCCAGUCACCUCUUCUCCGACUCCAGAGGAAAGAAACAAGAAGGAAUGAGUCACUGCUGCCUCCAGAAAGUAGUAGUUUGUUUACAACGACCAACAGCAGCAGCCCCCUGAAGGGACCGGCUGCAGCCGGGGUUGCUAGGACCCCGACGUCUACAUUCGUGCCGGUGAAUGACGUUGCACCAAGGCUGGACCUCCAAAAAUGAGCCCCAGAGAGUUCCCAGACCGUUGGAAGAGGUUAAAAAGCCCUCCACCGAACUGAGGAGUGUUUCUUCUCAGAGGUGUCAACUGGAUUCAGAGUUCCCUGCGGCGCUCUGGAUCAGACAAGAAGUGAGUUAGUAUUCAACCAAUAGAGACCAUUGUGCUAAUAGGUCUUUCCUGAAAAUCCAAUACUUUGGCCACCUCAUGCGAAGAGUUGACUCAUUGGAAAAGACUCUGAUACUAGGAGGGAUUGGGGGCAGGAAGAGAAGGGGACGACAGGAUGAGAUGGCUGGAUGGCAUCACUGACUCGAUGGACAUGAGUUUGAGUGAACUCUGGGAGUUGGUGAUGGACAGGGAGGCCUGGCGUGCUGCGAUUCAUGGGGUCGCAAAGAGUCGGACACGACUGAGCAACUGAACUGAACUAGGGUCAGC
Long non-coding RNA from Bos taurus (domestic cattle), 748 nucleotides. The record is from Ensembl. NCBI's taxonomy places the organism in Eukaryota, Metazoa, Chordata, Mammalia, Artiodactyla, Bovidae.